RNAcentral lists this long non-coding RNA (882 nucleotides) under Mytilus galloprovincialis (Mediterranean mussel). Lineage: Eukaryota; Metazoa; Mollusca; Bivalvia; Mytilida; Mytilidae. The record is from RNAcentral.
UGUCUAUGAAUCAAGUUUAUUAAAUGAAGUUAAUCAAAAUGGUUGCAUUAUUGCAUAUAUCAAUACAAUCUUUCUCAUCUUGGACAUCCCAUUGUACCCAUCUGUGAAGUUAUCACAACAAUGCAUAACAUGUUUGUGUUGUAUUGUGUUGUUUGUUGUAUUAAGUGGUUUACCUAAUGAAUCCACUUGUCAAAAGAGAUGUAGCACUUUUCGAAGAAGCCUAUUGAUAUAUUUUAUGCUUGACGUUUCAAAUCCGUUUGGUUUAAAUUAAUUUUUCAACAAAUUAAACACAUAAAUUAAAAAUAAAACACACGUUCUUGAUUUGUGUCUUUAUACAGAAAAAAAUACUUAUUGACCCCUGCAGUUUUUUCAAGGAGGUAUCAUUGAGGUCAAAAAUAGAUCAAACAAGAAAAAAACAUUCCAAUUGUUGCAUACAGAACGCAAACAUUAACAUAUAAAUUAAAAUGUAACUUUUGCCGUAAAGAUGCAAUUGCUGCUAAAUUCAUGUCCGCCAAUUUGACUCAAUUUCUCAUAUUUAUUUUCUAACAAUGUAUAUGCACACGAUAAAUGAGGUGAAUACAUGUGUUCAUUGAAACUAAAUUCUUGUCAAAACGAUUUAUGUUAAUAUUUUGGAGCGUUUCAUUUUCAUAAGACUCGUCGACGGGCUUUAGUCAAAACGGUUCGAAAAACAAAGUCAAAUUCGACGCUUAAGAUAAUAAAAUACUAAUUCAGAAUUUACGGUUAAAACUAUAUACCCUUUCGGGGUAGAAACACAAAUAGUUCUAUCAACUAAAAAUUUACAAAAUUAAAGUAAUAUCGAUUUAUAUUUUAUAUUUUCACAAGUAUUAGUGAUACCGUCUUAAAGAAAUUUCCACUGGCAGU